This 307-nucleotide unclassified non-coding RNA is filed under the name plant metagenome. RNAcentral's name for it is "partial contains 5.8S ribosomal RNA, internal transcribed spacer 2, and large subunit ribosomal RNA". The stretch from base 1 to 105 matches the Rfam family "5.8S ribosomal RNA", at positions 50 to 154 of the family's 154-position model. The record is from RNAcentral.
GAAAUGCGAUAAGAAGUGUGAAUUGCAGAAUUCAGUGAAUCAUCGAAUCUUUGAACGCACAUUGCGCCCUUUGGUAUUCCAAAGGGCAUGCCUGUUCGAGCGUCAUUUGUACCCUCAAGCUUUGCUUGGUGUUGGGCGUCUUGUCUCUAGCUUUGCUGGAGACUCGCCUUAAAGUAAUUGGCAGCCGGCCUACUGGUUUCGGAGCGCAGCACAAGUCGCACUCUCUAUCAGCAAAGGUCUAGCAUCCAUUAAGCCUUUUUUCAACUUUUGACCUCGGAUCAGGUAGGGAUACCCGCUGAACUUAAGC